CCCUUAGAUGUUCUGGGCUGCACGCGCGCUACACUGAUACUUUCAGCGAGUCCACCACCUUGCCUGAGAGGGUGGGGUAACCUCUGGAAAGUGUAUCGUGAUGGGGAUAGAUUAUUGCAAUUAUUAAUCUUCAACGAGGAAUGCCUAGUAAGCGCAAGUCAUCAGCUUGCGUUGAUUACGUCCCUGCCCUUUGUACACACCGCCCGUCGCUCCUACCGAUUGAAUGGUCCGGUGAAGCGUUCGGACCGUGGCCUUUGGACGGUUCGCCGUCUGUUGGCUGCGGGAAGUUCGUUAAACCUUAUCAUUUAGAGGAAGGAGAAGUCGUAACA
RNAcentral lists this ribosomal RNA (329 nucleotides) under uncultured eukaryote. RNAcentral's name for it is "partial 18S ribosomal RNA". It matches the Rfam family "Eukaryotic small subunit ribosomal RNA", at positions 1470 to 1796 of the family's 1831-position model. The record is from RNAcentral.